UUGAUGCACAUAUUCAAAUUGAAGUCAUGGAAUUGGAAGAUGCAAAGCAUACUUAGAGCUCUCCUCAACUCCUCCCUUGCAAUACUCUAACAUGCUUCUUAUUCUUAGAGGUACAAAGAUUUACAGGAGAAGGAAAGACUUCAUAAAAGCAAAGACAAUUUCAAGUGUAAAAGACAAUCUAAUCCAAACCCCAAAACUAAAAUUGGUAGCGAAAAACUCCUCAGUACACUCUACUUAACGCUAUAAAACUCCAAUAUCCUAAACCUAAGAACAGUCCAGAUGUGAAAACGGCAACCCAACUCAGUACUCGAGGCAUUGAGAAAACCAACUGCCUUAUCACACUCAAGCGGCUAUGAAGGCUUUUGUUGCAAAAGAUCUCAGCACCCCACACGUAAAAUACCCUGCGGCCUUGCAAAUCUAGGCUUCGGAUGCCCAGGUAUGAUGACAUUUAUUUGAGCCAACAAAAAGCUAUUCUGAAACCACUUCUAGACUGUUCAUUUGCUACGGCUGACAAACUAGGGGUUAACACCCUAACAUCUACCUGCAGAACCAUUCGCAAUUGCUCUCUUCUCUGUUGCUGGUUUAGCCAUCUUCAAGCAUCACCAGCUGCUACAGCCACACCAUUUUCCUCGGAUGGCUUUAGUUGUUCAAGGCCACCCUGCUGCACAUCCUUGUUCAAAAUUGUAACAGAUUCCAAGGUUUCUGCAAUCUGGGCUUCCCAUUAGCAGCAUCCUUCUCUUUCUCCCCAGCAACAGCAUCAGAAGUUUUUCCAUCCCAGGCCUGAAAGCCAAAAAGAGAGAACAAUAAGCCGAUGAUAGGCAUAAUGGAAGAGUUUGUUAGAAAGUAACAAAUGCUGCAUCCAUCAAGCAACAAAAUGAGCAAAUAGAAAACACAGAAGCAAUGUCUCUUAAAAU
This 914-nucleotide long non-coding RNA is filed under the name Elaeis guineensis (African oil palm). RNAcentral describes it as "long non-coding RNA (EGUI_LNC075474)". The record is from RNAcentral. Lineage: Eukaryota; Viridiplantae; Streptophyta; Magnoliopsida; Arecales; Arecaceae.